Perognathus longimembris pacificus (Pacific pocket mouse) is the source of this 137-nucleotide long non-coding RNA. RefSeq lists it as uncharacterized. The record is from RefSeq and is a predicted model, not a curated record. Lineage: Eukaryota; Metazoa; Chordata; Mammalia; Rodentia; Heteromyidae. The transcript is spliced from 3 exons.
AUUCCAAAAAUGCUUUCAAAUAGCCUUCCAGCAGGAAUCAGCUACAUGUGAUGGAGUCCCAUCUGCUUUUACCAUGGUAGAGGUGCUCAGGGUGACGAUGUAGUUUCCUCCAUAUGUGUCUCAGGCAAACCGGAAUC